RNAcentral lists this ribosomal RNA (253 nucleotides) under uncultured bacterium. RNAcentral's name for it is "partial 16S ribosomal RNA". It matches the Rfam family "Bacterial small subunit ribosomal RNA", at positions 524 to 776 of the family's 1533-position model. The record is from RNAcentral.
UACGAAGGGUGCAAUCGUUGCUCGGAAUUAUUGGGCGUAAAGCGCACGUAGGCGGCUUUGCAAGUCGGAUGUGAAGUCCCUCGGCUUAACCAAGGAAGUGCAUCCGAAACUGCAGAGCUUGAGUACUUAAGAGGAUCGCGGAAUUCCCGGUGUGGAGGUGAAAUUCGUAGAUAUCGGGAGGAACACCAGUGGCGAAGGCGGCGAUCUGGGAAGAUACUGACGCUGAGGUGCGAAAGCGUGGGGAGCAAACAGG